GUCUUCGAGUCGUUGAUUUCACACUGCCGAGAAAAGCCUCUAGAUAGAAAAUAGGUGCCCGUACCGCAAACCGACACAGGUAGUCAAGAUGAGAAUUCUAAGGUGAGCGAGCGAACUCUCGUUAAGGAACUCGGCAAAAUGACCCCGUAACUUCGGGAGAAGGGGUGCUCUUUAGGGUUAACGCCCAGAAGAGCCGCAGUGAAUAGGCCCAAGCGACUGUUUAUCAAAAACACAGGUCUCUGCUAAACCGUAAGGUGAUGUAUAGGGGCUGACGCCUGCCCGGUGCUGGAAGGUUAAGAGGAGUGGUUAGCUUCUGCGAAGCUACGAAUCGAAGCCCCAGUAAACGGCGGCCGUAACUAGAACGGUCCUAAGGUAGCGAAAUUCCUUGUCGGGUAAGUUCCGACCCGCACGAAAGGCGUAACGAUUUGGGCACUGUCUCAACGAGAGAC
RNAcentral lists this ribosomal RNA (449 nucleotides) under Staphylococcus aureus. RNAcentral describes it as "partial 23S ribosomal RNA". It matches the Rfam family "Bacterial large subunit ribosomal RNA", at positions 1582 to 2032 of the family's 2925-position model. The record is from RNAcentral. Lineage: Bacteria; Bacillati; Bacillota; Bacilli; Caryophanales; Staphylococcaceae.